Molecule: ribosomal RNA, 253 nt
Filed under: uncultured bacterium
Lineage: Bacteria
Description: partial 16S ribosomal RNA
Rfam family: Bacterial small subunit ribosomal RNA
Source: RNAcentral
UACGGAAUGUGCAAACGUUAUUCGGAAUCACUGGGCUUAAAGAGUCCGUAGGCGGCAUGUUAGGUGAGGUGUGAAAUCCCCCGGCUCAACCGAGGAAUUGCGCUUCAAACCGGCGUGCUAGAGGAAGAUAGAGGUGGGCGGAACUGAUGGUGGAGCGGUGAAAUGCGUUGAUAUUGGGAGGAACACCAGUGGCGAAGGCGGCUCGCUGGACCGGUUCUGACGCUGAGGCGCGAAAGCGUGGGGAGCAAACAGG